Molecule: ribosomal RNA, 356 nt
Filed under: Vibrio cholerae
Lineage: Bacteria; Pseudomonadati; Pseudomonadota; Gammaproteobacteria; Vibrionales; Vibrionaceae
Description: partial 23S ribosomal RNA
Rfam family: Bacterial large subunit ribosomal RNA
Source: RNAcentral
GAACCUGAAACCGUGUACGUACAAGCAGUAGGAGCACCUUCGUGGUGUGACUGCGUACCUUUUGUAUAAUGGGUCAGCGACUUAUAUUCAGUGGCAAGGUUAACCGUAUAGGGGAGCCGUAGCGAAAGCGAGUCUUAACUGGGCGCUCAGUCUCUGGAUAUAGACCCGAAACCGGGUGAUCUAGCCAUGGGCAGGUUGAAGGUUGAGUAACAUCAACUGGAGGACCGAACCGACUAAUGUUGAAAAAUUAGCGGAUGACUUGUGGCUAGGGGUGAAAGGCCAAUCAAACUCGGAGAUAGCUGGUUCUCCCCGAAAGCUAUUUAGGUAGCGCCUCGGACGAAUACUACUGGGGGUAG